This 274-nucleotide ribosomal RNA is filed under the name uncultured bacterium. Its description in RNAcentral is "partial 16S ribosomal RNA". It matches the Rfam family "Bacterial small subunit ribosomal RNA", at positions 523 to 796 of the family's 1533-position model. The record is from RNAcentral.
AUACGGAGGGUGCAAGCGUUAUUCGGAAUCACUGGGCGUAAAGGACACGUAGGCGGGAAGCCAAGUCUGAUGUGAAAUCCUAUGGCUUAACCAUAGAACUGCAUUGGAAACUGGUUACCUAGAGUAUGGGAGGGGGAGAUGGAAUUAGUGGUGUAGGGGUAAAAUCCGUAGAUAUCACUAGGAAUACCUAAAGCGAAGGCGAUCUCCUGGAACAUAACUGACGCUAAGGUGUGAAAGCGUGGGGAGCAAACGGGAUUAGAAACCCUAGUAGUCC